GAUGAACGCUGGCGGCGUGCCUAAUACAUGCAAGUCGAGCGAACGGACGCGAAGCUUGCUUCUCUGAUGUUAGCGGCGGACGGGUGAGUAACACGUGGAUAACCUACCUAUAAGACUGGGAUAACUUCGGGAAACCGGAGCUAAUACCGGAUAAUAUUUUGAACCGCAUGGUUCAAAAGUGAAAGACGGCCUUGCUGUAACUUAUAGAUGGAUACGCGCUGCAUUAGCUAGUUGGUAAGGUAACGGCUUACCAAGGCAACGAUGCAUAGCCGACCUGAGAGGGUGAUCGGCCACACUGGAACUGAGACACGGUCCAGACUCCUACGGGAGGCAGCAGUAGGGAACCGUCCGCAAAGGGCGAAAGCCUGACGGAGCAACGCCGCGUGAGUGAUGAAGGUCUUCGGAUCGUAAAACUCUGUUAUUAGGGAAGAACAUAUGUGUAAGUAACUGUGCACAUCGUGACGGUACCUAAUCAGAAAGCCACGGCUAACUACGUG
Molecule: ribosomal RNA, 497 nt
Filed under: uncultured bacterium
Lineage: Bacteria
Description: partial 16S ribosomal RNA
Rfam family: Bacterial small subunit ribosomal RNA
Source: RNAcentral